UAGUGACUCUGCAGCUUUUGCUAAUCUAACAGAAGAUGAUUAUUUGUGUACACCAAUUUGAAGCAUACUUAUUGCCUGGUAAAAAAAUGACAUUAUUUUUUGUCAUCGGUACGGCAGAUUUUUUUUAAGGGCAUUAUCUCCCCCUUUGGCGCGUUUUCUUCCCUGGAGGAAUCGUCUCUUUUCGGUCAUAUGGCAAUAAGACCAAAUAAUUGGCAUAUUGCCCUUUUGGUAUACCUAGUAAGUAAUUUCUAUUACAUAUAAUGAAUCACUGUUGAAUAAUUAUAGAUUAUUACAGGACAGUAAAGAGCAUGAACAAGUUUGUGGCAGUAGCCCAACAUCAAAUAUCAGCAAAAGAUGAAGUUCAGAAAAUAACAAUAUUUCAUACCACGGAAACUUCUGAGCAAUGCAUAUCAUUUUAAAUGCAAUGACUCUUUAAAAGAAUACUAUUUAAUAAAAACAUACAAGAAAUUAAAGAAAAAUGACUUACAUAAUGUAAUAUCACUCAGUCACCAUCGAAACCAAUAUAAUUACACAGAGAGAAGUCAAUAUGAAGUGGGAUGAAAGACAUAACGAGACAAGAGUAGGAGAUAUUUCAAAACAUAUAAAAUCAGUUGUCAUAUUGGCAAUUAUACCACAUCUCCUUCUUUG
RNAcentral lists this long non-coding RNA (648 nucleotides) under Mytilus galloprovincialis (Mediterranean mussel). Lineage: Eukaryota; Metazoa; Mollusca; Bivalvia; Mytilida; Mytilidae. The record is from RNAcentral.